This 253-nucleotide ribosomal RNA is filed under the name uncultured bacterium. RNAcentral's name for it is "partial 16S ribosomal RNA". It matches the Rfam family "Bacterial small subunit ribosomal RNA", at positions 524 to 776 of the family's 1533-position model. The record is from RNAcentral.
UACGGGGGGGGCAAGCGUUGUUCGGAAUUACUGGGCGUAAAGGGCGCGUAGGCGGUUGGAUAAGUCGGCUGUGAAAACCACGGGCUUAACUCGUGGCCUGCAGUUGAGACUGUCUGGCUUGAGUGUGGGAGAGGAGAGUGGAAUUCCUGGUGUAGCGGUGAAAUGCGUAGAUAUCAGGAGGAACACCGGUGGCGAAGGCGGCUCUCUGGACCACAACUGACGCUGAGGCGCGAAAGCUAGGGGAGCAAACAGG